RNAcentral lists this ribosomal RNA (506 nucleotides) under uncultured bacterium. RNAcentral describes it as "partial 16S ribosomal RNA". It matches the Rfam family "Bacterial small subunit ribosomal RNA", at positions 30 to 523 of the family's 1533-position model. The record is from RNAcentral.
AUUGAACGCUGGCGGCAGGCCUAACACAUGCAAGUCGGACGGUAGCACAGAGGAGCUUGCUCCUUGGGUGACGAGUGGCGGACGGGUGAGUAAUGUCUGGGGAUCUGCCCGAUAGAGGGGGAUAACCACUGGAAACGGUGGCUAAUACCGCAUAACGUCGCAAGACCAAAGAGGGGGACCUUCGGGCCUCUCACUAUCGGAUGAACCCAGAUGGGAUUAGCUAGUAGGCGGGGUAAUGGCCCACCUAGGCGACGAUCCCUAGCUGGUCUGAGAGGAUGACCAGCCACACUGGAGCUGAGACACGGUCCAGACUCCUACGGGAGGCAGCAGUGGGGAAUAUUGCACAACAGGCGCAAGCCUGAUGCAGCCAUGCCGCGUGUAUGAAGAAGGCCUUUGGGUUGUAAAGUACUUUCAGCGGGGAGGAAGGCGGUGAGAUUAAUAACCUCGCCGAUUGACGUUACCCGCAGAAGAAGCACCGGCUAACUCCGUGCCAGCUGCCGCUGUAA